Molecule: ribosomal RNA, 233 nt
Filed under: uncultured bacterium
Lineage: Bacteria
Description: partial 16S ribosomal RNA
Rfam family: Bacterial small subunit ribosomal RNA
Source: RNAcentral
UACGUAGGGUGCAAGCGUUGUCCGGAAUUAUUGGGCGUAAAGAGCUCGUAGGCGGUUUGUCGCGUCGAAUGUGAAAACCUGGGGCUCAACCCCGGGCCUGCAUUCGAUACGGGCAGACUAGAGGUUCGGUAGGGGAGUCUGGAAUUCCUGGUGUAGCGGUGAAAUGCGCAGAUAUCAGGAGGACACCAAAGGCGAAGGCAGUGUCCUGGGGAGUACCUGACCGCUGAGGUGCG